RNAcentral lists this long non-coding RNA (1860 nucleotides) under Portunus trituberculatus (swimming crab). RNAcentral's name for it is "uncharacterized LOC123519416". Lineage: Eukaryota; Metazoa; Arthropoda; Malacostraca; Decapoda; Portunidae. The record is from RNAcentral.
CCCGGUGACUCGUGUAUAGUUGCUGUAAUAUAGAGAAAUAAGGAAGAAGUGUUUCCUUCUCCCCACUCUGUGUGACUGAGCUGAGUGAGAGUGGGUGCUAUAGAAGCAGACAGCCAGGCCUGAGAGAGCGAUCUGCCCGCCGCUCCACCCCAUCCGAGCCGCGCCACCCAGAUGUGGGCAAACUGGACUUGAAACUCCAAGAUGUAGAAAUAUCAAGAUGUAGCAUGAAUCUAAAUGUAGCUAUUAUUAUUAUUAUUAUUAUUAUUAUUAUUAUUAUUAUCAUUAUUAUUAUAUUAUUAUUAUCAAUCCACACAGGGGUAUUGCAUUGAAUAUCAGAAAAAAUGCAUCUAUAAGUGUAAUCUGGGAAAUAGAUAUAAUGCAUUGUGCUCUUCACAUUUGUGCAGCCUUGGUUUUGUGGACCGAUAGGCAAUAUAUCCAAAAUUUAUUCAACAAACAUUCAUUGGAGUCUUGGGCACUGGUAAUAGGAGGACAGAAGACAGGCCUACAUAGCUUAGAUGGGCCUCGGUACCAAAGACUAAUGAAUGGUAUUAAAAGUGAUAAAGGUAAUGUUAAAACUUAUAUAUAAAUCACAUGACAUACUCCAAAUAUGAUGUAUUAAAUUGAGGACCAGACCCUGACAGUCUCUUGUUUGGGUCUGAGGGAAAUUCUGUGAGUGAGAACAUCAAUGGCAUGCUCAGGAGAUGGUGGUCUGGUGAAUGGAAAUGUUAAGAGAUCCAAAGUGAGAUUGAAAUGUUACUGGAAAUCUUCAUGUGGAUAGUACCACAGAAUAAUUAUGUAUUCAUAUUUCCUUUGAUGUCUCACUUGCAGAAAACUUCCUUUUCAUUUAUUUAAAGGCUUACAAUGAAUUUAAGCAAAUAUUGUAAAAUCAUAUAUGCCAUUAUAGAGUCAACAUUAUUACCCCUUAUAGCUCUAAGUUGCUGGUGUAAAAUUUCCUUGGAUUAUAGGAAAUAUUCUUAAAGAUAUACACAGUCACAAGUUUCCAGGAAGAAUACCUAGUAUGAGUAAAUAAACCUUUACAUCAAUACACAACAUUGUACUCCAUUCCUGUAGAAGUUAUAUGGAAGAGAGAUGAUAUGUGAAAGACAGGUUAAGUUAUACACACUUUGGCAGAUCAUGAGAGAAUGUGGAGUGAGAAUAAAAGUUAUUGGCAAGGCAGUGCUUGCUCCUUUUAAUAGAGCAUAGGAGCAAAUGACUUCUAGAGAGGACUGCCUAUGAUUCAAUACCUUAUAAAUUCUAAGUAUAGUAUUUUUCUCUAACUGUUCUUUGUAUGCCAAAACAUAAAAGGAUCAAACACCUUCUGUGGCCUUAAGGGGAAGCAUCUCUCCCAACAGGUAACAGGCUAUACUAUCAUCUCAGUGUUCUAGGAAAUGACUCCUUCUUUCAUAAGAAUCAUGCAGAAAAAAACAUUUGAAUUCAUUCAGAAAAGAUGAUAAGUAUUUUGGGAUUAUAGCAUUCCCAGCACAAAAUACCUAAUAUGUAUAAGAUGCACAGAAGCAGCAACACAGGCUGCUUCUGUGGUAGGAGGAAUGGAGGUAGGAAAAGAUUGCCACACAGUACACAGGAAUUGACUCAGAACUCUCCACCUUUAACACACAGCAAAGACAUAUGCUAAUACACAGCACUGAUAUCUUGUCAUUAGAAAAUACCUAUUGCUGAGAAAGACAGUAUUACCUGGAGCAGACAGUAUGUUAAUGUAUAGCAGUGUCAAUACUUACUGUUCUUCUCAAACUAUCACUCAUUCACAGAGAUGUGUACUUGUGUACUGACUCGCUCUCUCUCUCUCUCUCUCUCUCUCUCUCUCUCUCUCUCUCUCUCUCUCUCUCUCUCUCUCUCUCUCUC